UAGAGGGUGAAAGGCCCGUAAGACCGUUGGCUUGUUGCGCUGGCUUUUCCCUAGAGUCGAGUUGUUUGGGAGUACAGCUCAAAGCGCGAGGUAAACUCCUCGUAAGGCUAAAUAUGACCCCGAGACCGAUAGCGAACAAGUACCGUGAGGGAAAGUUGCAAAGCACUUUGAAGAGAGAGUUAAAGAGUACGUGAAACUGUAUAGUAGUAAACGGAGGGGCUCUCGAAGUUG
This 231-nucleotide ribosomal RNA is filed under the name Isochrysis galbana. RNAcentral describes it as "partial Eukaryotic large subunit ribosomal RNA". It matches the Rfam family "Eukaryotic large subunit ribosomal RNA", at positions 206 to 439 of the family's 3401-position model. The record is from RNAcentral. Lineage: Eukaryota; Haptophyta; Isochrysidales; Isochrysidaceae.